AGAGGUGAAGCGGGGCGGGGGGGAGGGGGUGGGGUCUUGCUCUGUUGCCUAAGCUGAUCUCA
This 62-nucleotide microRNA precursor is filed under the name Pongo abelii (Sumatran orangutan). Its description in RNAcentral is "miRNA". The record is from RNAcentral. Lineage: Eukaryota; Metazoa; Chordata; Mammalia; Primates; Hominidae.